GACGAACGCUGGCGGCGUGCUUAACACAUGCAAGUCGAACGGAAAGGCCCUGCUUUUGUGGGGUGCUCGAGUGGCGAACGGGUGAGUAACACGUGAGUAACCUGCCCUUGACUUUGGGAUAACUUCAGGAAACUGGGGCUAAUACCGGAUAGGAGCUCCUGCUGCAUGGUGGGGGUUGGAAAGUUUCGGCGGGUGGGGAUGGACUCGCGGCUUAUCAGCUUGUUGGUGGGGUAGUGGCUUACCAAGGCUUUGACGGGUAGCCGGCCUGGGAGGGUGACCGGCGACAUUGGGACUGAGAUACGGCCCAGACUCGUACGGGAGGCAGCAGUGGGGAAUAUUGCACAAUGGGCGGAAGCCUGAUGCAGCAACGCCGCGUGCGGGAUGACGGCCUUCGGGUUGUAAACCGCUUUCGCCUGUGACGAAGCGUGAGUGACGGUAAUGGGUAAAGAAGCACCGGCUAACUACGUG
RNAcentral lists this ribosomal RNA (468 nucleotides) under uncultured bacterium. Its description in RNAcentral is "partial 16S ribosomal RNA". It matches the Rfam family "Bacterial small subunit ribosomal RNA", at positions 28 to 507 of the family's 1533-position model. The record is from RNAcentral.